This 439-nucleotide ribosomal RNA is filed under the name uncultured bacterium. RNAcentral's name for it is "partial 16S ribosomal RNA". It matches the Rfam family "Bacterial small subunit ribosomal RNA", at positions 339 to 795 of the family's 1533-position model. The record is from RNAcentral.
CUACGGGUCGCUCCAGUGGGGAAUCUUAGACAAUGGGCGCAAGCCUGAUCUAGCCAUGCCGCGUGAGCGAUGAAGGCCUUAGGGUUGUAAAGCUCUUUCAGUGGGGAAGAUAAUGACUGUACCCACAGAAGAAGCCCCGGCUAACUCCGUGCCAGCAGCCGCGGUAAUACGGAGGGGGCUAGCGUUGUUCGGAAUUACUGGGCGUAAAGCGCACGUAGGCGGACUGGAAAGUCAGGGGUGAAAUCCCGGGGCUCAACCCCGGAACUGCCUUUGAAACUCCCGGUCUUGAGGUCGUGAGAGGUGAGUGGAAUUCCGAGUGUAGAGGUGAAAUUCGUAGAUAUUCGGAGGAACACCAGUGGCGAAGGCGGCUCACUGGCACGAUACUGACGCUGAGGUGCGAAAGCGUGGGGAGCAAGCAGGAUUAGAUACCCCAGUAGUC